This 429-nucleotide ribosomal RNA is filed under the name Chloroflexota bacterium. RNAcentral's name for it is "Chloroflexi bacterium partial 16S ribosomal RNA". It matches the Rfam family "Bacterial small subunit ribosomal RNA", at positions 355 to 776 of the family's 1533-position model. The record is from RNAcentral. Lineage: Bacteria; Bacillati; Chloroflexota.
UGGGGAAUAUUGCACAAUGGGCGCAAGCCUGAUGCAGCCAUGCCGCGUGUGUGAAGAAGGCCUUCGGGUUGUAAAGCACUUUCAGCGGGGAGGAAGGCGAUAAGGUUAAUAACCUUGUCGAUUGACGUAACCCGCAGAAGAAGCACCGGCUAACUCCGUGCCAGCAGCCGCGGUAAUACGGAGGGUGCAAGCGUUAAUCGGAAUUACUGGGCGUAAAGCGCACGCAGGCGGUCUGUCAAGUCGGAUGUGAAAUCCCCGGGCUUAACCUGGGAACUGCAUUCGAAACUGGCAGGCUAGAGUCUGGUAGAGGGGGGUAGAAUUCCAGGUGUAGCGGUGAAAUGCGUAGAGAUCUGGAGGAAUACCGGUGGCGAAGGCGGCCCCCUGGACAAAGACUGACGCUCAGGUGCGAAAGCGUGGGGAGCAAACAGG